This 494-nucleotide ribosomal RNA is filed under the name uncultured bacterium. Its description in RNAcentral is "partial 16S ribosomal RNA". It matches the Rfam family "Bacterial small subunit ribosomal RNA", at positions 28 to 507 of the family's 1533-position model. The record is from RNAcentral.
GACGAACGCUGGCGGCGUGCUUAACACAUGCAAGUCGAACGGUGAAGCGCCUUCCUUUUUGGUGGGUGUGGAUGAGUGGCGAACGGGUGAGUAACACGUGAGUAACCUGCCCCCUUCUUCUGGAUAACCGCAUGAAAGUGUGGCUAAUACGGGAUAUUCUGGGUCUGUCGCAUGAUGGGUCUGGGAAAGAUAUUGUUUCGGUGGGGGAUGGGCUCGCUGCCUAUCAGCUUGUUGGUGGGGUGAUGGCCUACCAAGGCGGUGACGGGUAGCCGGCCUGAGAGGGUGGACGGUCACACUGGGACUGAGACACGGCCCAGACUCCUACGGGAGGCAGCAGUGGGGAAUAUUGCACAAUGGGCGCAAGCCUGAUGCAGCGACGCCGCGUGAGGGAUGGAGGCCUGCGGGUUGUGAACCUCUUUCGCCAGUGAAGCAGGCCUGCCUCGUUUGUGGGUGGGUUGACGGUAGCUGGAUAAGAAGCGCCGGCUAACUACGUG